RNAcentral lists this transfer RNA (51 nucleotides) under Rhinophis philippinus. RNAcentral describes it as "tRNA-Cys". Lineage: Eukaryota; Metazoa; Chordata; Lepidosauria; Squamata; Uropeltidae. The record is from RNAcentral.
GGCCCUCGUAGUCAGGUUGCAAACCUGUAUAUGGCACUUCGCCCGGGGCUU